Molecule: long non-coding RNA, 1026 nt
Filed under: Capsella rubella
Lineage: Eukaryota; Viridiplantae; Streptophyta; Magnoliopsida; Brassicales; Brassicaceae
Description: long non-coding RNA (CRUB_LNC002350)
Source: RNAcentral
GGAUAUCUAGAAGAUAUGUAAAUAUCUUUCACAAUCAUAUUAACGAUUUGUAUAUAUUUUAUAUGAUCUCUUUAGUUAGGAAACUAGGUUAAAUGUUAUUCCUAUAUAUAUGCUUGUAUAUUGUAACAUCAUCUUUAUGAGAGUCAAUAUACAAUUCUUCCAAUCCUAAACUCUCAUCAAUCAUUACAUGGUAUCAGAGCAGGUUGCUCCCGAGUUUUGAUCUAACAGUCAAACUCGUUUUCUUUUAUUUUUGUUUUUGUUAAGCCAAGUGCUUCUUCCAUUCAAGUUCAUCAUGAACCUCUGAAUCUAAGCCAUCGUGCUUCUCUUCAUUCAAGUCUAUGCCAUAGACCUCUGAAUCUAAGGUACAAAUGCUUUUUUAUGAACCUCUGAAUCUGAAUCUUUAAAAAAAAAAAAAAAAAAAAAAAAGUUUUUUCUUUAUUCAUGUUUAUCAUACACCUCUGAAUCUGCUUUUUAUUUUUCUUAUUAUUAAAAAAAAUAAAAACACGAUCACUCAUGCUUCGGAUAAACAUCUGAAUCAAGCCAUUAAAAAAAAAAAAAAAUUAUUCACAUUUUCUUUUCUUAAGCAGUUUCUUAAUAUUUUUCUUUCAAUAAUGCUUUAUUUAUUAAAAAAAAAAAAAAAAACAUCGGUUUCUUCUUCUUCCUAAGACAAAGGUUGAUCACCAAUCAUGCCGUCGUCCACACCACCUUGAUCAGCAUCUUCAUAGCUCAUCACCAUCGUUAACAACAAUAUCUCCCACGAGCAACGCUCCUUAGCUUCUUCAAAGUGUACACAUGACUAAUAAUAAUCGAAAUCAAUCUCAAGCCGCUAAUUUCGUUGUUUCUUCAUUAUCCCCUUGAAAUUGAGGGGGCGUAUAAGAGGAUAUCUAGAAGAUAUGUAAAUAUCUUUCACAAUCAUAUUAACGAUUUGUAUAUAUUUUAUAUGAUCUCUUUAGUUAGGAAACUAGGUUAAAUGUUAUUCCUAUAUAUAUGCUUGUAUAUUGUAACAUCAUCUUUAUGAGAGUCAAU